Non-coding RNA from Pangasius djambal, 74 nucleotides. Lineage: Eukaryota; Metazoa; Chordata; Actinopteri; Siluriformes; Pangasiidae. The record is from the annotation of a GenBank genome assembly.
GCAGUUGUGGCCUAAUGGUUAGAGAGUUGGACUUGUCACCUGAAGGUCAUGGGUUCAAGCCUCACUUCACUUCA